This 30790-nucleotide long non-coding RNA is filed under the name Lactuca sativa (garden lettuce). RNAcentral describes it as "long non-coding RNA (LSAT_LNC007515)". The stretch from base 1 to 1489 matches the Rfam family "Bacterial large subunit ribosomal RNA". Lineage: Eukaryota; Viridiplantae; Streptophyta; Magnoliopsida; Asterales; Asteraceae. The record is from RNAcentral.
AGCGAGCGAGAGCGGAUUGGGGCUUUGAAGAAAAACAAAGACGAAGCUUCGUUCCUCAGCAAAGUGUUCAUUUCUUUUUCGCCAGGUUUCAUUCUCUUUCUUUUUUGAUUGGAUGAUGGAAAAACCAGAAAGCUACGGCUUGAAAGCUUACCUUCUUCUCUUUUGGAGAAAGGGCUUUCUUUAUAGAUGAAGACGUUGAGUAAGGGGGGCGGAGCUUGAAGAGCGAAGCGAGCUGCGCUAGCCUAUUACGUUUUUCAGCAGCAAGCUACGGUCUAACGCUUGCCUCCGGUGGCUAACCGGGCGAAAACUCCAAAACUAGGGUUCCAAACCUUUCUCUAAUAAUCAGGUAAGCUUUCAAGCCCCUUGACUUUCUAUUAGAUUAGUUUAGUCAAGGGCGCUGUGAACUGUAAUUGUGAAAAGGUUGGAAGAUCUGGCCAAAGAAGGUGAUAGCCCUGUAGAUUCGUUCCCAUGGUUCGAUCCUUCCCAGUAAAACGCGGCGUGUUCGAAUUCUGAUCGCUUUUACGCGAGAAAGGGGGACCACCUCUAAGCCUAAGUAUUCCUCAAUGACCGAUAGCGUACAAGUACCGUGAGGGAAAGGUGAAAAGAACCCUAGUUAGGGAGUUCAAUAGAGAACCAGAGAUCCGAUGCGAACAAUCAGUCGAAGGAGCGGAGCUUAGAGCCUUGAUUUUCUAUAUUAGUCAAACGCACUCACUCUAACAGCGUACCUUUUGCACGAUGGGUCAGCGAGGAAAUGGGAAGAGCGGCUUAAGCCAUUAGGUGUAGGCGCUUUCCAGAGGUGGAAUCUUCUAGUUCUUCCUAUUUGACCCGAAACCGACCGAUCUAGCCAUGAGCAGGUUGAAGAGAGCUCUAACAGGCCUUGGAGGACCGAACCCACGUAUGUGGCAAAAUACGGGGAUGACUUGUGGCUAGGGGUGAAAGGCCAACCAAGAUCGGAUAUAGCUGGUUUUCCGCGAAAUCUAUUUCAGUAGAGCGUAUGAUGUCGAUGGCCCGAGGUAGAGCACUCAAUGGGCUAGGGUGGCCCCAUUUCGCCUUACCAACCCCAAGGAAACUCCGAAUACAGGCCUAGAUCGUUUGUACAGACAGACUUUUUGGGUGCUAAGAUCCAAAGUCGAGAGGGAAACAGCCCAGAUCGUACGCUAAGGUCCCUAAGCAAUCACUUAGUGGAAAAGGAAGUGAUCGAGCGAUGACAACCAGGAGGUGGGCUUGGAAGCAGCCAUCCUUUGAAGAAAGCGUAAUAGCUCACUGGUCUAGCUCCAUGGCACCGAAAAUGUAUCAGGGCUCAAGUGAUUCACCGAAGCGACGAGACCUUGAAAGCAGUUUUUUCAAGUGUCAGUAGCGAAACGUUCUGUCAAUCGGGGAAGGUUUUUAGUGACAAGACCUGGAGAUAUUAGAAGUGAGAAUGCUGACAUGAGUAACGAUAAAUCUAACUUGUUUCGACCUGAGAUAAUAAGCUCAUGAGCUUGGUCUUACUUCACUGUCGAGAAACGAAAGAAGACUUCCAUCUCCAAGUUUAACUCAGACGUAGCUCCCUUCUUUUUGGGUGUGAAGCAGUGUCAAACCAAAAUACCCAACAAGCAUUAGCUCUCCCUGAAAAGGAGGUGAUCCAGCCGCACCUUCCAAUACGGCUACCCUUCAUCAAGAAAGCUUGCAUAAGAGAUCCUUCUUAUUGCUCUAUCUAGAAUGAAAAUCUAAAGAUAAAAAUCAAUGUUAGGCUGUGGGGCCACAAGGGCUGGGACCCCUAAGGAGAGGUCAACGAAUGCUCUUCGAAUUGGUCUAUAGCCGAUGAACCGACCAGGACACCCCCCCUUUCUGCCAUAUCUCUCACUGCCUCAUACUAGCUAUCCCUAGCCGAAAAAAGUAUGAAUAAAGUAGUUGAGUGCCUUUCCUUCCCCUAUAUGUGUUUGCCACCACCCGACUUAAUGGUAAGAAAGCCCGCCUCCUAAGAAUGAAGGAAUGGAUUAAUCACCUUUGGGGCUGGUGGAUGGAUCACCUUUCCUUAACAUAGAUGGUGGAUGGGCUUCACUUAACAAAGAAGAGAAUGGGCCAUAUGGGUGCCUACAUUGUUAGUCUAUUUGAUUUAAGGGAAGAGAUAUUUAUUGAAUAGAAAGAAUGAAACCUGUACCAUCUUAUCGCCAACCGUGCUUCCUACCAACUCCGCCUAUCCCAGACAGUCGGUCCUAUUGAUUUAGCCGCACCUGAACCCGCAACAACUACCUCUAGUCCGAAAGCAACUUACUUUUCUGAUGAAUCUUAGCUUGCUUUUUGAAUACGGUCAAAGUGGGACAUCCCUUGUUCUCGCAUUGCCUUCUUUCCUAGGGAAUUCAAUCACAUCGGAUCAGUGAGCUAAAGUCAGUCCCUCAACAGCUAAAGUAACUGCUUGAUCUGUCACCCUCCGUGAUUCAAGCCUGUCACCAAGCCUUAAGUCAAAAGCUCUGGUUUCAAGCCCAGGGCACCAAGUGAAUCAAAGCAAGAGCUUACUCAGAGCUCGAACUCUAUUUAAAUCAAAGUCAAGCGAAGCAAAGCAAGCCAGCCAAAGAGGGAUAGGCAUGAUCAUUCUAUUCUAAAGGUAGAGAUCUUGAACUAAGGACUGAAAGCUAGAAGUUCUCUAUGUGAACAUAGGAUCCUAUAUAAACAACCAGAAAUCCUAGACUAACUGCUCUAGAGGAAACCAACUGGAGAAAGCCAGAGGAUGGAAGUCACUCAGUUAAGAGGAUUAGGGAAUAAACGAAAGAAAGAAAGCUUAACUCGCUCGAACUUCCGAGGGCCAGUGAACUUCCUGGGGUAUUUUAUUCCUUAGUAGCUUUGACAACAUUCGUCUCUGUGUGAGCCCUCAUCUCAUGCUCCUACUACCUCUUAACUUCAAGUGGGAGUGAUGGACGAGUGAAGAUCGCCAACUCUUUCUUCCCCGUGAAUUGAAUAUCAACUGAAAUCGGGCGGACCGGCUUCUCCCUUUGAGCAUAGCAUGCUUUUGGGGAGUAAGUCACUUAAUAUAGUAUAUUAUGCGAGAAUCGAUUCUUACAUCACAUCAAAAUAGCAUGUCUAUAUACGGAUCCUACAAUUCCCUAUGAAUCUCCCUGACAACCCCUUCAAUCCAUCUUCAUCUUGGCUGGCAGCCUAGAUUGAGCCCUGGGACUGAUCUUCCCGUUGGCUUUACUGCCGCAGUACUCAUAGUGAAAGGUCAGCGGGGGGCAUAGCGAAAUUCCUCACCGAGAUGACUGGACAACCUAUCGACCAGAUCGCACCAGCAGAGCGAUUCAAAGCCUCUUUGGAGCGGUCAUUUCUCAGUCUGUCAAUUUCAGGGUAGUAAGCGCCAGCUGCAAGCUUUCGGUUAAUGCCAUCCAAUCUUCGGUACAAAAUUUCCUUCUUCUAUUUCAUAUUUCCAAACACUUCCUUAUUCCAAAAGCUCAAUGCCUCAAAUAUUGCACCUCUAAUGGAUCACAAAACACCACUACCAAGCAGAUGAGAGGAGAGAGAGAGGAGGGAAGUACUUAGAAUAUCGGCUAGGGUUUCUUCUUGGCGAACAUUGGCCGAAAAUCCUAAGCCUAUGGGGUCUUUAUAUAGCUGAGGGCUGCUAGGUUUUCUGAAGGAAACCCUAAUUUCCUAAUUAAGGCUCAAGCAUCCCAUGGACUCCUACUAACAAGCCUUAGACAAAAUCUAUAGGCCCCCCUAUAGAUUUUCGUCCACUCCUAAUUAAGGAGUCCAUUAGCUCAGUUUCCCAAUUAUCAAUGAUUUGCAAAACAGACCCUGUUCUUUUAAUCAGUUCCUUUAAUCCUAACAUUAAUUCCAAAUUAAAUUCUGAUUAAAUACUAAUUAAAUAACAUGAUUUCUAAUUAAUAUAUUAUUUUCAUAAUACAUUAAUAAAUAAAUUUAUUAUUCCAAAUAAUAAAUUCAACCUCUUUCUCUAAAAGUUAUCCUUUCAAGUUGCUAGGCUGAAGGCAUCCCAAAAAGACCAGGCUACUAUCAAAUCAAGUACAUACCAGUUCUAUUAAUGGUCUUAGACACCUAAUGCAAUAGUCUCCCACUUGGAGAUGUUUAAUAACUAUAGUUGCAAGUAUGAUUUCAAAAUUUAACCAACAAUCGUUGCUUUCAAAAGCCGCAGUCUAACUCUGACCUAGUUAGUUAUGUGUCCUAAAGAUAAGAGAUUAUAUAAUCCUCUGUUCCGCAAGAUAACAUGUGAACAAAGACAUGGAAAAAAUCAUUCUCAUUGUCCAACAAUUUGUUUCCUAAUUUCUGAUUUGUAUGAUGAAGAACUUAAUUGAACACAUCAAUUCAAUCCUGACCGGACCCGUGACAUAAGUCAACACAAAAUCAUCGAGGUUCCAAGAUAUCGCUUUUACCCAUUGGGAUAAAAGGAAAAGAUAAAGUUUGACUUAUAUGAUUGUACUAUUUACUUAUCAAAUGGUACACAACAAUACAUUUUAUAACAUCAAGUUGCUGAUGCAUUUACGUAUUAUCAAUGCACAACCAACUCAUAAACAACAACUCAUAUAUUUCAGUUUAAAGACUAUACGAUAUUAUCUUCUCAUAAUUACUCAUGAUAAAUUCCAUGAAGUAAUUUUAUGAGUGUGGGUUUAAUCGAAUACUCAAAUCCCUAUUUCAAGAUUACUUAUGAAUAUUGCAGCAAACUAUUGCGAUGUCUUCUAGGGAGCAAGUGGCCGAUUUUCCUUAGCCAUGGAGUCCUUAUAUAGGGUAGAGACUAGGGUUUCAGUCCUUAUCCUUAUCUGAUUGCUUGCCCACCAAGCAUCCCAUAAGAUAAGUCUAGAACCUUAUCCAUGGACAAUUUCUAGGGCCUUAUCCCCUUGAAUUCGUCCACCCUAUCCAUAGGGCAUCCAUUGCCCUAAUUUGCAACUAUCACAUAAUUACAAUUCAACCACUCUAGUUUAAUUAAUUACAUUUGAUAACAAAAUUAAUUCUUAAUUAAUUAUUGAUCAAUAUUAAUUAAACAAAUAUGAUUUUUCCUUUAAUAUAUUAUUCUUAUAAUAUAUUAAUAAAUCAUAAUAACCUCUUUCUCUAUUAUUUCUCCAGUAAGGUUGCUUUGGUGAAGGCAACCCAAAAGGACCAUGCACAACUGGGUUAAGUACUUACAAAAUAUGGUUACGGGCUGAGACACUAAUCCAACAGUCUCCCACUUGGAUAAUUCUAGUAACCAUAAAUGCAAGCAUAAAUCAAUUAGCAAUGGUAGCUCUCAAAGAUGCUGUCAAACUCUGAUCUUAUCAGCAACCUGUCCUUUAGAUAAGGGAUCGUAUAGUCCUCUGUUUCAGAUAUCGUGCGGACAAUCUCAUGGAACAUAGUCAUACUUAUUGUCCAGCAGUUUGUUUCUCGAUCUCAAAUUCAUUUGACAUAGAACUUAAUUGAACACAUCAAUUCAGUCCUGACUGGGCCCGACACAAAAGUCGAAUGAAAUCAUCGAGGGGCCCUGAUAUCGCGUUUACCCUGUUAGGAUAAAAGGAACAGAUAAAUUUUGACUUAUAUGCAUUCACUAUUCAUUAAUCAAAUUAUACACAACAAUGCAUUUUAUGACAUCAAGUUACUGAUGCGUUUUCGCAUUAUCAAUGCACUAUCAAUUAGCGAACAAUAAACCUGUAACGCCCCGGGUUUUCUCGGUACGUUUGGUUAUUUUAAUUUAAUUAUCCAUGUAACCUUGGGUUAAUUUAUUUAACCAAUGUCUGAUUUCUUAUGUUAUUGGACUCUUUUGAUCAUCUUGUAAACUCCUUUUAUUGAAGUCCAUGGGCUAUGGGCCUAUUUGCAAAGUCCAUCUAGUUAAUAGUACUUAAUGUGUAAAUUGAAUCAUUUGGAACACACACAAGGAAAACACUCUAAACCCUCCCUCUCUCUCAAAAAUCGUCCCUCUCUCUCUCUUUGGGAUCAAGAGCAGCCAAGGGGCUGUUUGGAGCUUAAUUCUUGUUCAUUUCCAGCCUUGAUUCGUAUUGGUAUGAACCUCCUUAUCCUUUCUUACAACUUGAUUCAUAACCUUGUUCUAGUUUUAUGAUUUCAUCUUCACCUCUUCUCCUUCUUAUUUUAUUUGUAAUUGUAUGUUAUACAUCAUCUCAAGAUCCUAUCUUCACCCCAUAUAUGGUGGAUGAUGGAUCUAGGGGAUUACAUGUGGCAAAAGAUCAUGGAAACCCUAAAAGGGAGAAUGAUGAUUUUAUGUGCUUAUGUUUAUUUUCAUGUUGAUUAUUAUUACAUCCUUGUGGCUAAAUGAAAUCCUAAUGAUCCCUAACCCUUUUUAGUACCACCAUUAUCAUGGGGACUGAAUUGGGAUGAUGAACACAUCUUAAAAUGUGUUUCAAAAGGAGAAGGAUGGAUAAGCCAAAAAGGAAUCACGGGUGGCUACGAUUCUGUUUUCCAUCAGAUCUGUAGUCAUUUUGUAAAAAUCAUAUCUGGAGCUCUAGAACUCAAACGGACCCCAAACCAGUUCCAAAAGUUCACAAAUUGAGUUGGCUAACUUUCUUAAGAAGGCCAACCUCACUGAUAAGGGCUUUAUCUAUGUGAAAGAAUGGCAUCUUUGCUGUUAGGUCUGAUCCGGGUCUGUUCUGAUAUGUCAUUUUGUUUUCAUCAUUUCUAAGGCUUGGAAAAGGAUCCAGAGUGAUUCCAAGUUUCUAUAUGUUCCUUAUAUUAUGAAUUUAAGAUCUGGAGAAUAUGGGGUGUUAUUUCCAAUUAUAAAUUGGUUAGAAUGGAUCCACACUCCAGGUCAGUGGGCAGUCACCAGCUUUUGCUAGUGCUGUGAUUGUCCACAAUGUGAAUUUUAUAUCUGGAGUUUGAGAGAUGCUUUUCAUUCAAUUCCAACUCUGAGACUUUCACUUGUAUGUCCUUUACUUCUCUUAAUUUUCUUUUGGACGAAUUCUACUCACAAGUUGGGUAGAAUUGGCCAACAUCACUUGACUGUAUUGUUGGAGACAGAAGUGAUACACCAUUUUGUAAAAUUCAUAUUUAAUUCAUCUUUUGGAGUUAGAAUGAGUUCUUUAUAGUUAUGGAAUCCUGAGCAAUCAUAGUUUCCUAUAAAAUUUAGUUAAAGCUAUGUUUCUGUUUUAGAUUUUGGAGUAAAUCCGUUUUGAACAGCAGGUCUGUUUUAGAGACCUUGCUGUGAUUACUCUUUUCUCAACUCAUAGCUUCAUUACUUCUCGUUUCUAACCUUUAGUCCUUCUUAGGCGAGGUUUUGAAGUUUGCUCAAGCUUGGUAGCAUUAUUUGAUUGUUAGCCAUCCUUAAUACUCACUCAAGGUGAGUUCUCUCACACCGUUGUAUUGAUGAUUGUGUUUGCUAGUUAGCUCGUGUGUGAUUAUUUGAAUUUAUUAUAAAAGCAUGCUAUAUAAGUAUUGUUUUAAUUCGUACAUGUGCACUGUAUGUAACUAAUUAUGGAUAUGGGGACACCACCAAAGGAUACGGAUUUACCGGUGCGGUGGGUAGGUAAGAUCACCAACGUAAUACUCUUCGUGAGGUGCGGUGAUUAGGGCCAAAUGAUACGGGAUCUUCCCGGUGCGGUUCAAACCUACAAGUCCUUCUCGUAAUAUAGACAUUGAUUCGUUCUUUGCCUUUAUCAUUAUAAUUGGAAAAUGGAUUAGGGCUAGUAAAUAUGAAUGUUAGUACAAUGUCUGUGUUUGAAUUCACUAAGCUUCGUGCUUACGUUUUUCCCUUAUAACUUUUCAGGUGUUAAGAUUAAAGAGGCUAAGGCUUGACAUGGAGCAUCGGGACAUCGCUACUAGUUAUUUUGUUGGGACCUUAUUAUUGUUAUUACUUCCGCACUUAUUUUAUAUGAUUAUUAAGUUGAUGGAUUAUUUUAUGACUAUUUCAGUUGUUUUAAUUUAAUUUAAGAUGGGUUUUAAAAGUUUAAAUUUUUUGCAAAAAAAAAAAAUUGGGUGUCACAAAACCAUAUAUCUUGGUUUUAAGACCAUAUGAUAUUAUCGUCUUGCGAUCACCCAUGAUAAAUUCCUUGAAGUGAUUCCAACAAGCGCGGGUUUAUUCCAAUGCUCUAAACUUAUUCAUAAGCACUCAUGAACGUUGUAGCAAACCCUUGUUAUGUCUAAUGCCUUUCAGACAAUCUACAACAAUUCAUUACAGUCUUCAUUCAUACCUAGUUCCAACAUAUGAACGACUGUGGACCGUUUGAAUAAUUCGCUUAUUCUUAAUUAACACAAUUAUUCAAGAAGUCAAAACAUGCAAAGUGAAAUAAUAGUUAAACAAUUAACAUAAGAUAGAAACUUUAAAUAAUACUCCUUUAUUUAAUCAUCAAAUUUCAAUUACAUUUAUCUAUUACACGUAUCUAAACUAUCUAAUCCAAACUAAUAUCGUCCUUCAGCCCAAUGCUCCUAGAGUGCUGCAAGUGCUUAACCCUACUUAGUCCCUUCGUAAGCGGAUCUACUGGGUUAUCCUCUGAUGAUAACCUCUUUACUAUGAGGAGUCCUUCUUCUACCCGAUGUAUAAAUAAAGUGAUAUUUUCUAUCGAUAUGUCGGGAUCUACCAUGAUCCCUCAGUUCCUUGGUCAAGGCAACCGCUCCGUCAUUCUCAAAGAAAUUUUCCAUAGGCUCUUUUAUGGCAGGUACAAAUACAAGGUCUCCAAUGAAGUUCUUCAACCAUAUCACCUCCUUUGACGCUUUGCUCACUGCAAUGUACUCUGAUUCGGACGUUGAGUCGGCUACGGUUUCUUGCUUGGAACUUUUCCAUGUCACUGCUACUCCAUUAAGGGUAAAGACCCAGCCCGACUGCGAACGAUAGUUGUCCUUGUCGGUCUGGAAACUGGCGUCACUAUACCCCCGCACCUUUAAGUUAUCACUCCCUCCGAGGACUAGAAACCAUUCCUUUGUCCUCCGAAGGUACUUAAGAAUAUUCUUGAUUGCGAUCCAAUGUGCUUUUCCAGGGUUCCCUUGAUAUCUACUGACCAUGCUCAAAGCGAAGGCCACAUCAUGGCGUGUACAAGUCAUAGCAUACAUGAUCGAGCCAACUGCGGAAGCGUAAGGUACUCAGCUCAUCUAUGCUAUCUCGGCUUCGAUACCCAAAAUUUGAGUCCUACUCAACUUGGAAUUACUUUGGAUUGGUGUAACAGCCCAAAAUCUCAAGUAUUGUUAAAUUGCAUUUUGGGGUGUUUUAAAGGGGAGACUCGGCGAGUUGGAGCCAGACUCGCCGAGUAGGGUCGCAGAUUUGGUCGCGGGUUCGCGACUGGACUCGACGAGUCCAGGUAUGGACUCGGCGAGUCGACGCUGUUCAGCAGAAACCCUAGCCGUUUCGUAUUGGGUCGUAUUUAAGGGUUGUAUGUCGUCAUUUCACGUCUUUUGGCCGAUUGUGGAGAACCCUAGACGACUGUGGCAUUUGGAGCAAAACUUGAAGGCCAUUAUUGACUUUGAAGGAAUUAUGGUGCAAGAAGAGGAAGGGUUUUGGCCAAAGGAAGAGCAAGGAGGUUGAGUUCUGAGGUUUGGGGACACAGAGAGUAUGUUUUCAGGUAAGGUUUCGGAUCAUUCCUGUUAUUUUGAUGUGUACACGAAUUUAGGGUUUAUGAAACCCAUUUGGAGAUUUGAUGGAUUAUUAUGUUGUUAUACAAAGGUUUCUACCCUAGUAAUAGGAUGAUUAGAGGUNNNNNNNNNNNNNNNNNNNNNNNNNNNNNNNNNNNNNNNNNNNNNNNNNNNNNNNNNNNNNNNNNNNNNNNNNNNNNNNNNNNNNNNNNNNNNNNNNNNNNNNNNNNNNNNNNNNNNNNNNNNNNNNNNNNNNNNNNNNNNNNNNNNNNNNNNNNNNNNNNNNNNNNNNNNNNNNNNNNNNNNNNNNNNNNNNNNNNNNNNNNNNNNNNNNNNNNNNNNNNNNNNNNNNNNNNNNNNNNNNNNNNNNNNNNNNNNNNNNNNNNNNNNNNNNNNNNNNNNNNNNNNNNNNNNNNNNNNNNNNNNNNNNNNNNNNNNNNNNNNNNNNNNNNNNNNNNNNNNNNNNNNNNNNNNNNNNNNNNNNNNNNNNNNNNNNNNNNNNNNNNNNNNNNNNNNNNNNNNNNNNNNNNNNNNNNNNNNNNNNNNNNNNNNNNNNNNNNNNNNNNNNNNNNNNNNNNNNNNNNNNNNNNNNNNNNNNNNNNNNNNNNNNNNNNNNNNNNNNNNNNNNNNNNNNNNNNNNNNNNNNNNNNNNNNNNNNNNNNNNNNNNNNNNNNNNNNNNNNNNNNNNNNNNNNNNNNNNNNNNNNNNNNNNNNNNNNNNNNNNNNNNNNNNNNNNNNNNNNNNNNNNNNNNNNNNNNNNNNNNNNNNNNNNNNNNNNNNNNNNNNNNNNNNNNNNNNNNNNNNNNNNNNNNNNNNNNNNNNNNNNNNNNNNNNNNNNNNNNNNNNNNNNNNNNNNNNNNNNNNNNNNNNNNNNNNNNNNNNNNNNNNNNNNNNNNNNNNNNNNNNNNNNNNNNNNNNNNNNNNNNNNNNNNNNNNNNNNNNNNNNNNNNNNNNNNNNNNNNNNNNNNNNNNNNNNNNNNNNNNNNNNNNNNNNNNNNNNNNNNNNNNNNNNNNNNNNNNNNNNNNNNNNNNNNNNNNNNNNNNNNNNNNNNNNNNNNNNNNNNNNNNNNUUUUAAUAUUAAAUUGAUUAUUUAAAUGAAAAUUUUGUUUUUGGAAAUCACGGUGUUACAAAUUGGUAUCAGAGCCUUGGUUUGAGGGAUUCGGACGCGCCUACGGGUAAAUCUGGACUCAAACUGAGGAAGUAAGAAAAAGUUUUCCAAAUAAAUGGUUUUCUAAAAGUGAAUAAGAGUUCAAAGAGAAAGCAAGAAAGAGCAGUGUGUACAAUCAGCCAGAGCCAAACGGUGAUUUCCCAAAAUACCCUUACUUUUGUAUUAUGAAAUAUCUAUUAUGCACUUUAUGAGACAUUAUUGCAUGCUAGAGACAGGCUAGGUAUUUCAUAUCUUAGGACUAGAGUGGCCUGAUUUGUGAUGCCUUAGUCUAGGGUUUGCUGUUAUAUGUGCGUUCUGCUUUUGUGUGUAUGUGAUGAGUGAGAGCAUCUAGUUAGGAUGCACAAGGGGUAAAGCUACGGGGUACAGAGGUACUUCCGAGGAUGAGCCGAGAAGGUGGAGCUACCACAGAUGGGAAGUCCUAUGUAUGCUUCAAUGCUCGAAUGCUGCUUGCUUUGUGCUUUGUGGAGUUAUCGAUGAUGGGAGUCAGCUACUAAGUGAGUAUGACGAUACUCAGGAGGUAGAGGGCUGGCAUCAUUAGGAACUCUUCAGCAGCUGAUAGCAAAGAAGUGGGAGGACAGCGGAAGGGACUAGGGAGUAAACCUAGCCAGAUGAGUGCGCUGGUAGAGUAGAGGAUUUCGCUGGAAAGCGAGCACGCGCGAUGAGAUGGGUGAAAGAGCAGGUUUAUCAGCUACUUAGGAACUCUGGGAUGGUCCGUGUGGAAAGUAUGGGUAGAUGUGGCAGGUAGUAUGGGCCCGUACUACUGAAAGCAGAGGACCCAUACUUGAUACAGGGGGCAUUCUGAAGGUCCUAAGGAACAGAUUGAGGGGUGAUGUUAUGGUUCGGAUACCAUACAUCGGAGCGGAUACAGAGUGAUGUUAUGGUCAGGGCACCAUACAUCGGAACAGAUUGAGAUAGAUGUUGUGGUUCGAGUGCUAUACAUUGGAGCAGAUUGAGGAGUGGUGCUAUGGUUCAGGUACCAUACACCGAAGCAUGUUGAGGAGGGAUGUCAUGGGAUGAGUACCAUGGUUCGUAGUGGAUGAUGCUUGUGGCUAUCUUGUUAUCCGGUUAUCGAUCGGACGAGCACGAGCGAGCGGGAUGCGAGGAUUCGCGAGAUCCGGCGUGAUGAGGUUGCUGCAUUGUUGCGGGUUGAGUCGCCAGAAUUGUUUGGGUCGAUCAGGACCACUAUGAUUGAAGUAGUUUGAUGAGCGAUAUGCGGCUUUCGCAGAGACGGCUGCCGCGGCGGUUACAGCGGCUGUAGCAACGGCAAAGAAAGGGGCUAGUCGGGGUUUUCAGUAUCGGGACUUCUAUUAUGCGAAGCCUCCCACAUUCGAUGGAGUUCAGGACUCGAUUGUUGCUAUGAGAUGGUUAUCAGACAUGGAGGGGUGUUUCUCCACGAGUUUAUGCCCUGCUGAUCAGAGGGUGGGGUGUGCUCUGAACCUAUUGAGGCUCGGGGCGAAGGAUUGGUGGAGAUUGACCACGAGGUCAUUUUCCGAUGCGCAGAGGGCUGCGGUUUCAUGGGAUCAAUUCAGAGGGAUGUUCAGUACUCGCUAUGUUCCGCGGGAUGAAAAGGAGAAAUUGGCUCGGAAGUUCUUUAAGCUGAGGCAGGAUUUGGAGUCGGUGACUGAGAGCACCGGGAUGUUUAUUGAGAGGGCGAUGUUUUGCCCUGAGUUCGCUUCGGAGCAGGCUCAGAUGUCCCGAUAUCCGAGUAUGCUCAAGGGGGGGUAUCAGACAGUUCGUGUCUGCGCAGAGGCGCGAGACCGUGUUGGUAUCGCAGGAGGCCGCCAUGUGGCGUGAGUUAGAGGUUGAGUUGCAGUUGCGUGAGAUGAGGCAGGCCCCGAUGCAGUCGCAGUCGGCGCCGAAACGGUCCAUGACCGUAGACGUUAGAAUGGGGGAUCGGAGCGGUCACACUUGUGGGAAGUGUGAGAGAGAUGGCACCGGAGCUUGUUGGCCCAGUGGUGCAUGCCGCAAGUGCGGAAAGGAGGGGCAUGGUGCACGGGAUUGUCGGCAGUCAGUGCCAAUUCGGGAUUUCAGGAUUUGUUAUCAGUGUCGGCAGGUUGGACAUUUGAGGGUCAACCGUCCACAGUUUCCUGCAGGACCGGUGCAGGCUCUAGCAUCGGCCACCUUGAGGAGUUCAGGAGGAGGACAGGAUGGAGCAGAGCCCAAGGGCUCAGGGUCGUGCUUAUCGGCUUGCGGCAGAGGGAGACGGAGCAGUGCCGGAGGCAGCUGCGGGUAUGAUGCUCUCUUGAUGUCUUGAGUAGCUUGCGUUGAUUGUGGCGUAUUGUUUGUGCUGGUGUCUGGUGUGGAUUUCGAUGCGGUAUUCGUUGUUUCGCGGGUUUGGCAUGGUUAUGGAUUGGUGCUUCAGGUUUUCGCUUGGCAUUCGUUGUUCCCUGAUGGUUUAGUAUGAUUAUAGUUUGGUGUUUUGGUACCGGUAGCCUUGUGCGGUUUUCGAUGCGAUAUUCAACCUUUGGCAGGUUGUGGGUUUGGUUAUGGGUUAUUGCUUGGGAAUUCCGUUGGUCAUCGUUCGUGAGGGUUGAUAGUGGAGAUGCGGCACUGGGUUGAAUGACGGGUAGCAUCUGCAGUUGUGGAGUGGAUAAUUGAAAGAUCGGAUUCUUUUGAGCGGAUUGAUCAGGGAGGAGAUGUGUUUUGCUGAGGGUUGCUUACGCUUGUGGGAAGCAGUCAGUGGGUAAAUGUUCUCUUUGUGCAGGAUGGUUCUGAAAGGUCGUUAAUGACGAUCGGUGGCAGUUAGUCAGUGCUUUAGUGGGGGAGAAUUGUAAAAUUCUCCGGGAGAUCGAUGAGUAUGUAAGGGUGCUUAGCUGUUGGGAUUCAGCAGUGUUUGUCAGCGCAAAGUAUAGGCCGACGAGAGCGAGUGUUGGGUAUGCGGGGCGAGAUACAGACCUAGGGCAUUUGAUUGUGGAGGCCUGAGAGGAGGUCGGGAUCAAGCUUGAGUAAGUAAUCGGAAUUUUGCGAUCAGAGUAUUGGUACGUUUGAGGUACGUGAUGGGUUGUACUGCAUUAAUCCCACGGGAUUAUGUUGUGCAUGUUUCUAGAGCUGGAACCGGAAGGUUCCCAGAGUUAGAACCUGAGGGUUCGCAGAGUUUGGGUGUACGGACCCACAGAGAUAUAGCCUCGAGUGGCUAGUAUGUGUUAUGAGAGUCGGUCCAGUCAUACUGGAGACUCUGUUGGUAUUGCUGGAUUAGUUUGAGAUUUGCGGAUCGCGUAUGUUGCAGUGUGAUUGCAUUGGAAGGUCUGGCCCCGGGUUAUUGAUCUUGUUUAGCGGAGGCAGUGAUUUUGAUGAGUGGAGAGAGUGCAUGGGAUUGAGAGCCCCUGCAAUGAGAACCAGAGUAUGUGAAUAGCAGUUACGCAAAAAGGGUGGUGUCGCUUGGGGCGAGCACCGUGGCACCGGUUGGAGUGGCAUUAUGUUCAAGAGAGUUCCGUGGAAAAGGAAAAGAGGAGGGUAUGUAACUCCGAAGGGGGUGCAAGUUCACGAAAGUGAAAGCUGCAGAGCAGAGUUUUGGUUAGAGUAUUUCGAGUAUGGUUUUGAGCAUCGUGUUCGCGGCAGUGGAGUAGGAACCCAUCCGGUUGGGAUGUCUGUUGAGGCUCAGAAGGGAUGCAUGGAGAGAGAAAAUUUUAAAUUUUCAGUGUGAAUCUGAUCAGAGUGUAGGGUGGAUGUAGUGGUUCAUCUUGGGAGAUGUUCGAGGAUAUCAUCAGUGUAUCGGGUCUUCCAACCUACGAGUGUUGGGGCUAGUUCAGCAUGUGUAUAUGAUGGCAAGAGGAGAAUUUGUGAGAGUUACUCUGGGAGUGAGAAUGGAUCUCUCAGUUGGUCUGGGAUGGACAAAGUGGGCUUUGGAUCGGGGAUCCGGUGGUUCAGGGUUUCCUAACCCUUAUGGGUUGAGUGAUCGUUGAGAUUUGGAGCAGAGUGCAUCUUGGGUAAUUUCCGAUUACAGAGAGUGAUGAGCAGUUCAGAGUUCGUACUUUAGUUGACAAAGCAGACUCAGCAGGUUAAAGAGAGUUAGUGAUCGUCUAGAGUUAACAGGAAAGUUAUGCAGGCAGACGGCGGUUCGAGCUUGAGUUUCGGGUCGAUGACUUAGUACUCCUGAAGGCCUCUCUUUGGAGAGGAGUGAUUCGAUUCGAGAAGUGGGGCAAGUUGGGGUCCCGGUUCAUUGGGCCUUUUCAUGUGAUUGCGGGGGUAGGCCGGGUGGCCUAACGGUUGUAGUUGCCCACGGAUUUGAGACAAAUCUAUGGUAUUUCAUGAGUCGCAACUGAGGAAGUGUAUAGCCGAUGAGUCGGCAGUGGUUCCAUUAGAGGGUAUUCAGGUGGAUGCAAGCUUGAAUUAUGCCGAGAAGCCAGUGGUCAUCAGAGAACGGAAGAUCGAGGUUCUGAGGAAUAAGGAGAUACCUCUGGUAUUGGUUCAGUAGCGACCUCGGAAGAUAUCGGAAGUGUUUGGGAAAGCCGAAACGUGUGAUGCGGGAGCAGCAUCCAGAACUACUUUCAGAGUGAGACUUCGAGGGCGAAGUCUAAUUCUAGUGGGGGAGAAUUGUAACAGCCCAAAAUCUCAAGUAUUGUUAAAUUGCAUUUUGGGGUGUUUUAAAGGGGAGACUCGGCGAGUUGGAGCCAGACUCGCCGAGUAGGGUCGCAGAUUUGGUCGCGGGUUCGCGACUGGACUCGACGAGUCCAGGUAUGGACUCGGCGAGUCGACGCUGUUCAGCAGAAACCCUAGCCGUUUCGUAUUGGGUCGUAUUUAAGGGUUGUUAUGUCGUCAUUUCACGUCUUUUGGCCGAUUGUGGAGAACCCUAGACGUCUGUGGCAUCUAGAACAAGCUUGAAGACCAUUAUUGACCUUGAAGAAGUUGUUAGGCAAGAAGAAGAAGAGUUUUGGCCAAAGGAAUAUCAAGAGGAUCGAGUUCUGAGGUUUGGAGACACAGAGAGGGUGUUAUUCAGGUAAUAUUUCGAAUUAUCCUCUGCUAUGUUGAUGUGUUAUGGAAUUAGGGUUUAUGAAACCCAUUUGGUGAUUUGAUGGAUUAGUAUGUUGUUAUACAAGAGUUUAUACCCUAGUAAUAGGAUGAUUAGAGGUCCAGAAGUCCCAUGAGUGUGUAUCUCGGGAAAAACGUAUCUCAGGAAGCAGUUGGAUCGACUGCAUGGCGUGGACUCGCCGAGUCGGAUGAUCAGACUCGGCGAGUAGCUUGAAGAUUCACUGGGACUCGCCGAGUUGUUCUUCAGACUCGGCGAGUGGAGUCGGGGUGGCCCCGCGAUUCUUCCAGGAGUGACUCGUCGAGUCAAAGAGGAUACUCGACGAGUAGAAGGGGAAUCUCAGAGGAUUGAAGGACGACCAGACUCGCCGAGUCGCCAGGGAACUCGCCGAGUCCAGUCGAGCUGACAUUGGACUGUUGACCAGAGUUGACUGGUGUGAUUNNNNNNNNNNNNNNNNNNNNNNNNNNNNNNNNNNNNNNNNNNNNNNNNNNNNNNNNNNNNNNNNNNNNNNNNNNNNNNNNNNNNNNNNNNNNNNNNNNNNNNNNNNNNNNNNNNNNNNNNNNNNNNNNNNNNNNNNNNNNNNNNNNNNNNNNNNNNNNNNNNNNNNNNNNNNNNNNNNNNNNNNNNNNNNNNNNNNNNNNNNNNNNNNNNNNNNNNNNNNUAUGAUGUGUGAUGGACCGGAAGGUCGGCGUGGGUAAGGCCGGAAGGUUUACCCAGCAGGGACGGAAGUCCCCUGAGACACAUGGACCGGAAGGUCGGGCCUGGAAAGGCGUAUGUGCGUAAGUUGUAUAUUGGGGAACUCACUAAGCUUCGUGCUUACGUCGUUUAUGUUAUGUUGUUUCAGGUUCUUACAGUAACGCGGGAUGGCAACGGUUCGAUUGUACACACCGAAGAAAGAGUUGUAUUUUGGAGGAUCCUGGUCUUCCAUUAUAACGAAAAAGAAACUAUGUUUUGUAAUUUGAAUGUGAAUAAGAUUUUAAACAAGUGUUUUUAAUAUUAAAGUGAUUAAUUAAAUAAAAAUUUUAUUUUUGGAAAUCUUGGUGUUACAAUUGGUAAUUCUCCCUUCUUUGAGUUUUCCAUACUAAAACGUUUUAGCAGCUUGUCCAAGUAAAUAUUCUGACUAAGUCCUAUUAGUCUCUUACAUCGGUCUCUCACUAUCCUUAUUCCCAAAAUAUAGGAAGCCUCUCCGAGGUCCUUCAUAGCGAAGUUAACAUCCUGCAGUGUCGGGAUGUCGUUUCCUAUGAGAAGUAUGUCAUCGACAUACAAUACGAGGAAGCUAAAUAUACUCCCACUGGAUUUGACAUGUACACAUGAUUCAUCUUUGCUUCGUACAAAUCCAAACUCUUUGACUUUCUCAUCAAAGCAAAGAUUGCAUCUGCGAGACGCUUGCUUAAGUCCAUAAACGGACUUCUUAAGCUUGCAAAAUCUAUUGGGAUGCUUCGCAUUGACAAAACCCUCUGGCUGAGCCAUGUAAACAUCCUCAGCCAACUUCCGAUUAAGGAAAUCGGUUUUUACAUCCAUUUUCCAUAUUUCAUAAUCAUGAAAUGCAGCAAUGGCUAGCAUCACUCUAAUAGACUUUAUUUUGGCAACUGGUGAGAAGGUCUCAUCAUAGUCAACUCCGGGAGUUUGAGUAAAGCCCUUCUCAACCAACCGCGCCUUAUAUGUCUGUACAUUGCCAUCCAUAUCGUUCUUCUUCUUGAAGAUCCACUUGCACCCAACCGUCUUACAUCCGGGCACAUGGUCAAGCAAAUUCCAUACUUGAUUGUCGUAUAUGGACUGAAUCCUACUGUCCAUCGCCUCUUUCCAUUUUGCAGACUCCGGGCCUGCCAUGGCUUUCUUAUAGUUGUUAGGCUCAUCUAAAUUUAUUAGUGUACUAUCACUAAUAUACCUCUCUUGCACUCCAACUUUUUUCUCACUCUUUCUCAUUUUCAAUCACUUCCACCACAAAUUAUCUCUCAAAUCCGUCUCUAACUAACGAAAAUCAACAUCAAAGAAGCACUUUCCACACAAAGAAUCAUCUUCUUCAAGUGUUCUUCUUAAGGUAAUCACGAAAACUAAGCAUUAUCCCUUCAUUCCCACUCAUAAUUUCACCAUUUUAUGCAUUUCUUUCUACUUCUACUCCAUUAUAUGAAAAGAUUUUGAACCACGUACCAUAACCACGAUUUUGAUGCUGAUGGUGGUAGGAUUUCACACAAAAACAUCAUGUAUGAUUAAAAUGGUGGAAUCCCAUGAUCCAAACCUAUGUCAAAUCAAAAUAAACCACUUUUAUACAUGUUUUGGCGGAGAUAUCAUAAUAUUAACCAAUGUUUUCUUUCAAAAGCGAUUUUUAAACUUUUCAAACUCAUGCAUGGCCUUAAACCAACAUGCAUGUGUUGAUCUUCAAGCCUAAGAUGUUUGGUGAUCAAAGUAUGCAGUUAAAAUGUCCACACAACUACAUGAAGUAAUUUAAAUCUACCACAGUACCUAGAACUCAUUUCUAACACCAAUCAGAUGUUUCCCUUAAUCCCACCAAUAAAAUGACAAGUACUGUUAUUUUUAGGAAAUAAUUUAAUUUUCUUGAAUUAAUAUAAUUAUUUCAAGAAAAUAAAACAAAAAAAUCAUAUAAAAUACUUUUUACAUCCAAUAAAUUCUGAGAAAAUUUGGCAACGACACAAAAACUGAUUAAAGACAUUUUAUGAAGUUUUAUUUACUUCAAAGGGCGUGUUUUGUUGAGUUCCAUUAACUUUUGACAAAGAGAAAUAAAUACUAAAAUACAUUUAUGAAUGUCCAUAACUAUAUUUGAUAAUUUUCGCAUCUUCUGAAUAUUAUAAAGAGUUGAUAAAAAAUGUAUAGAUUUUUCUAUGACAAUUUGGUAUUUUUGUCAAUUUAAUGAACUUUUAAAGGAUUAAAUUGAUAAAAUAUAGCUACACUACUCCAAAAAUAAUGAAACUUCAUCAGAACAUCUUAUAUUGCAUAUUGAUCAUAAAUAAAAAGUUUAGUGAAUUUUACCUAUAGUUUAAUAAUUUUUCAAGAAUUAAUGCUUAUUUAAGAGAAUAAAACAAAGAAAAAUAGUUAAGAUAUCUGAAAAUAACAUUUGAAAUUUCUUUCAGCUUACAUAUAUAUAUAUAUAUAUNNNNNNNNNNNNNNNNACAAAACGUUUGGAGAAUUUUCUAAACAGUUUCCAAAUUAUUUUUAUUUUUGCUAUAUUAAAUACACAAAAUUCAUAAAAUCACCUUAAUCUUUUUAAAAAGCAAGUUAUAUAUUUUUCCAAUUUAUUUCGAUAUGUGUUGGUUUAAGAUAUUAAAUAAAGGAAAAAUAUUUAAACACAUAAAAAAUUCAAGAAAACUUUUCCAGAAGACCUUCACUAUAUUUGGAAUGAAAAUAUAAAGUUUGAAGAUUUUAGGAAACAGUUUGAUAGUAUGUUGGAUUUUCUUAGUUAAAACACCUUUAAAAAUAUUAAAAUGUUCUAGAAUUAAUAAUAUAGAAUUUGGAAAAUAUCAGCUAAAAUUUGUCUUUGAACCACAUGAGAUACAAAAUUCCAGCAUUUCAGGAAAUUUUUACACCAAGUAAUUAAAAUCAAAUUCUUAAAGUAAAUUUUGGCAUUACUCUAUAUGUAGAAAUUGUAUAUUAGUAUUAGAUUUGUGACAUAGAAGGUCACUAGAAUGUGUUGUUAUCAUAGGAUCCCAGUGCUACGACAUGUAGGUGUAUCCCAAGGCAUCACUUGUAUCUUUUAAAGCAUCGUGAGUAUUCACGCCUCCACCUAUUUUCGGUUUUUAAAUGUUUUGGGGUAAAAAAGCAUGUCGUAAUUUAUUUACGGUUGUUGUAUUUAUUUUGACUCAAUUAAUCUUGGUUGCUACAUUUUGCAUGUGUGUGUAUGCUACUUUAAUUCAUGAGCACCGUAUCGCGAUUACGUCCCUGGGAUCAUUUGACACAACUCAUUAACUAUUUUGAGCCCAUGGUCAUUAUGGAUCGUGCUAUUAGAAGGUAGACAACUCCUCACUUGCACGAUUCGCUUGAAUGCAUUUUACGAUAUUUCGCUAUGUUUGUGAUACACAUAGUAGUAAAUAGGUCACGAUUCGGUCAUUUUAGCAACGAAACUUGUUUACUCGUUUUAGCAACAAACUAUAUUUCCCAUGAGAAUAUGAACUUUGCAUUUCAUUUUGGCAACAUACUUUAUUUCUUAUGAUGACAACGAACUUUUUUUUAUGCAAACUUAUUUACUCAUUUCACCUAAGUACACAUCACUUGUAGGAGCAUUCACAUGUGUUGUCUUUUAAAUACAUUGUAAUUUCUUUUAAAAAGUUGUACUAACUCAUUGUAAAUUUGUAAUGCUUUUUAAUACUAUAGUUGGUGUUGUCUUUUAACUUUUUCUAUGAGACCCUUUGUACUGUCACGCCCCGUGUUUCCGCUUUAACGGGGUGUGACCGUUCUCGUCGUGAGCUUGGUAAAAUUAGGGUUUCGAUAUCUUUUCCAUUUUUUAAAUAUGAAGCUUCAUUAAGUAUGGAUAAAUACCAAAUUUAAAAUUUUUAUUGAUAAAUAUUAUUUAAAUGUGUUUAUUUGAAUUUAAUAUUUAUUUAGUAUUUAAAUAGUGAUUUUAAAUAUUUAAUAUUGUUUAUAACAGAGAUUUAUAAAUUUGAAUAUUAACCCAUCAUGUUUUUAUUAAUUGUUAUAUUGCAUCCUUGCAAUUAAUUGGAAUUCAUAAUAGACAACUAAAUUUAAAUAGUUUUAAAUUUACCCAUUGUAUAUGUAAGAUCCAUACCUAUUAUAUGUAUAAGAGAAUUACAAUAUGCGUCCUCGUAUAUUUUAGAUAUUGGCAUUUUUCAGUCUUACCGCAACUAGGCUCAUCCAUUAUGGUGUAGGGGUUUAAGUAGGUCUCUAUGAUUCCUAAUGAGGUUGGAUUUUAAUAUGGUUCGCACUUACCACCCUCACCAACCUAUUGCAUUUUGAGAAUAGAGUUACCGAAAGGGUUUGAUAGUGAUAAUGGUCAAUCUAAAAGUAUUCUAAAUACAAGUAUAAAACAAAAUCCCAUUUUCUAUUUAAAAGUGAAUCUUGUGCUAUCCAUAAAAUUUGUACAUUCUCUUUAUAACUUGUUGAUAGGACUCAUGUGGUUAACCGACACAUCAAUUUGAGAGUAUAAGUAGAGAAUUAUGUGAGACUCGUGAAUCUCAGGUGUAACUUUAGCCAGGGACCAUGCAAUUUAUUAUGGGUGAUUCACCAUCUGUUCAAUGAUCCAUGACAUCCUUGUCAUUGAAUUCGAGAUGAACAAACUCCAAGAUUAACAUUCUAUUGAUAGCCAAUGAAUCUUAAAGAUAUAGGAAUUUCAUGGUGAUCCAAAUUGACAAAGAGUUUUGUCUACCUAAAGAACUUUGUGAUGUGUUUACGACAUCCCUUUACACAUCAUGAAGCCAAAUAUGGAUCCUAGCCUUAAUCUAAUAAUUUGAUUUAAGGAUAAUAUUUAUUAAGGAAUUUAUAUAUCAAACUAAAUUGAAUCUUAUCUUUUGUAGAUGUCGACCCCAGUUAACAACAACAACAACAAUCCUCCUCCUCCGCUUCCUCCCUUAACUCAAAACUCAAGCUUCUCUCUUAUGUCAGUUCUAAAUAGGGAAAAACUUAAUGGGGAUGGAUCCAACUAUCUUGAUUGGAUCAGGACCUUGAGAUUCACGUUGAGAUAUGAGAACAAAGGGUAUGUUCUCGAUGAUGAUGUUCCCGAACUUGGAGAGAAUGCUACACAGAUGAAGUUACUGCCUACAAUAAGCAUUACGAUGAAUCAACCAAAGUGUCUUGCCUUAUGUUAGCGACCAUGGCUUCUGGCCUCCAAAAGAACUUUGAAAAUUAAGGCGCUUAUGACAUACACCACCAUCUCAAGGAUAAGUUCCAAGAGCAGGCUGGUAAGAACGAUUCAAGAUCGUUAAGUACCUCAUGGCAUGUAAAAAACAAGAGGGAGCUUGUGUGUGUGCGCACAUCCAAAAAAUGAAGUCGUACAUAGACAGACUUGAGAAUGUAGGUGUCGAGCUGCCUAAGGAAUUACCAUUGACAUAGUCUUGAACUCACUUAGUAGUUCAUACUCAUAGUUUAUCAUGAACUUCAAUAUGGACAACCCCGAUAAGACCUUGAUGGAGUUGCAUGGCAUGCUCAAGACUGCUGAGGCGAGAAUGAAGAAACCUAACAACAACUCCAGCCCUACUGCCCUAGUAUUGGCCAUUCAUUAUGGUUCUACUAAAAGGAAAAGGUUUUGUCAUUCAAAAGGAAAGGGAAAGGGCAAGGUUGGAUUGUCUGACCAUGGCCCUAAGAGAAAGGACCAACCUGAGAUAGCUCCUUCUGUUGAUCCAAGUGAGGCCAUUUGUUUUUAUUGUCAGUCAAAGGUGUUGGGUUUUGAGCAUUCUAACACUCCUAAGUGUACAUGCAACCCUAAAUACCUUGGAUCUAUGUUUUCUCUAUUAUACAUGCAAAUAAGAAUAUCCAAGGUAUCAUCCUAAUCUAUCAUACAAAACAUGAAUAUAACAAGAUAGAAUACAUACCUCUUUGAUGUAGAAAGUCUUCAUGAAGCUUGAGUGCCUAGCCCCAAUAGUGUGGAAGCCUCAAAUGGAAUCACAGUUAUCAAAACACUUAGAAUAACUUGAGAGAGUUCUACACUUCAUGAAAUCGGCUAGCCCUCUCUAGAAUAAUCCUAGUGGCCGAUUUUUGUCAAGAAUAAGAUCAUUAUAUAGUGUUACAAUUAGGGUAAAUCCUUAAUUGUCAUGACUUUCCAUUUCCUUGGAUCCAUGGGUUCAAAUACACCAUGGAGCACCCAUGGACCAUCCUAUGGGUUUUAGCCCAACUUGAUUAUCCAUGGAGCAUUAGCCCACUAUAUAAGUAUGGAUGAUUUACACAAUCAACCCAUAUAUUUAAUUAGUCUUCUUUUGAUCACUUAAUUAAUCCUAGAUUAAUUCUUGAUCAAUACUAAUUAAACAAUCUUAUUAUUCUUAUUAUUAAUAUACUAGAACUUAUAAUAUAUUAAUAACCAUAAGUGUCUUAUUUCUCUCAUUAUAGUCUAUCUAAGUGCAUGAAGGUUUGCAACCCAAAUGGACCAUGCCGGGUCGGGUCAAGUCUUACCAAUUAUAGUUAUGGACUUAGACAUUAAUCCAACAGUCUCCCACUUGGAUAAGUCUAAAACUAUUAUUGCGUAUGACUUCAGGAACCAACCGACAAUCGUAGCUCUCAAAAGCUUCUGUCGAACUCUGACCUUGUAGAUGAACUCUGAUCUUGUCAAUGACUUGUCCAUUAGAUAAGGGAUCAUAUAAUCCUCUGUUCUCAUGAUAUCAGCCGGACAAAUACAUGGAACAACGUCGUACUUAUUGUCCAGCAGUUUGUUUCCCGAUUUUCGAUUUGUUUGACAAAGAACUUAAUCGAACACAUCAAUUCAGUUCUGACCGGCCGGUACAUAGGUCACAACAAAAUCAUCGAGGGGCCCAGAUAUCGCUUCUAUUUCUAGAAGGAACAGAUAAACUUCGACUCAUAUGCUUGUUCUACUACUUGUUGAAUUGUACACAAAGGCACGUUUUAUAACAUCAAGUUACUGAUGCGUUUACGUGCAAUCAAUGCACAACCAACUCAUAGGUAACAACUCAUAUCUCUAGGUUUGAAGAUUUAUAUGAUAUUAUCGUCUCACGAUCACUCGAGAUAAAUUCCAUGAAGUGAUACAAGUGAGCGUGGGUUUAUUCCAAUACUCAUAACUUAUGAGUACUCAUGAAUGUUGUAGCAACCAUUGCCAUGACUAAACUCAUUUAGCCAUCUACAAACCCGAUUCAUGACAGUCUUGAUUCAUACCUACUUCCAACAUAUGAACGACUGUGGAGUGUUUAAAUAACUUAGUCAUCCGGAAAGAAUAACCUAGCUAUUUUGGAAGUCAAAACAUGCAAAGUGAAAUACAAUAAUAAUCGAAUCUAAUAUGGUCUCAGAACCCUUUUGAAUAUAAAUAAAACCACUUUUUAUUUAUCACCAUAUUGAUUACACAUUAUUCAAUGUUUCAAAUAAUCAACUUAAGACUUGAAUAAAAACAACAGUCGUCCCAUGCUCCUAGCAUGUACACUUUGUUUUUCUAAACAAUAGUUAUGCCAUACCCCAAGUAUGCACACUAUGUUUGUCUAUGAUCCUUACAUUGUGAUGUAGAUCAAUUGAACAUGAUUCCAAUGAUACUCAUUUCACAAUCCCAAAUCCUUAUUGUAAAUGCAAGAAUUCCAAAUUUAUGUCAUUUACUGAAAUCUGUUAGAUUCUAAACUUAUAUGCAUUGAUCCUCUUGUAAUGAUUAUGCACAAAGUCAGAAAGACUUGACAACAACCAUUACAGAGCAUUCCAAAGGAGAUCAGCUCCUUGGGAACAUCCUUUUUGCAUUAAGUUUCCUAAUCUUACAUAGAUUGAAUCACUUCCACCUAUGGAGACAUUUCCAUAGUCCUAUUUGACUAUCACUUCCGAACAAGAGUUACCUCUUUUCAGAAAAUGUCGAUAUGGUCCUACCAAAAUUAACACUAGACUUCCAAAUGUCCCUGAGCAACCAAUCUUUGGCGAACCUCAGAUUGUCCUCGACAAUUGCUUAAUCACUUUAGUCAUAUCCAGUUCUAGACUUUUCCCUUCUAAAUGCCUUAAGCAUUUGGAAAAUUUAGAAAGGAUGAAUAUUAUAGCACAUGAAAUCGAUCCUAUAUCCGAAGCAUAUGGGAUACUAUUCAUGAUGUUUGACAUAAAGACAUGACACUAGACCAGUCUUUUGCUACAAUAUUUUUUAUUUGCCAUGUUUUCAAAAUUUAACUAUGAAGAGGGAUGCCGUAAUCAUAAUCGAAUUUUGAAAAUGCAAUAUAUAUAGAAUUUCUUCAAGUUGAACCAUUCCAACACAAAAUUCACAUAUAUUCUUGACUAAAGAUGAUUAAAAUCUCAAUCUAAGCUUUAGAAUUGACAUGAAGUAUAAUUUCCUCUCCCUUAAUUAUAGCAAAACAACUUUUCAACCCCUGCAACUUCACGGAUUGAAACUUUGUUUUCUAUAAUUAACAUUGCUAGCUUGCAAUACUAAUCAUAAUAGUCAUGCUCCCACUAACAUGAUGAUUAUCAGCAUAACACUUAUGCUCCCACUAGCUCUGACACAUUUCCAGAAAUCUGUUGGACUUCUGAAAUUUAGAUUCAUACACCCUUUCUUAGAUAGCUCACAUGUGUGUCUAAACAAUUUUCAGAACUAUGAAAAGGGAUGCCGUAAUCAUAGUCUCAAUUGCUUAGGCAUUUGCCAUUUCUCACAAGUCCAUGUUAGUGUGCCGGUUAACCACACGCGCUCCACUAAUGACUUUUGAAAAUGCAAAUGACACAAUUGAUAUCUACUUAAAAUCUAUUUAGUGAAAGCAUUUCCUCACCAUCAUUUUCAUGAAUCGGAGAGAAACCUUAUGACACUUAGAUUUAAUAGUGUAUGAGUUCCUAUCCAUGCGAAUUUGUCAAAACCAUAAUCACAAGAUAAGGUUAGUGACAAAUUCAGCCCUACAUGGAUUAAACUUAUUCAAUCUUAGUUUCUUGUCACCUUGGUAACACAAGGCCCACCAAUGCUUCCAAGUUGAACUCUGAUAACUCACAUGUAAAUUCAACUUAUUUGAAGUAGGUACAGAAAUAAGAAUUAUGUCAACACGAUAGGUUGAAAACCUUAAGUCGUGUGCUAGUGAUAAAUUACAGGUUUUACUCUUGAUUAAAUCUUGAAACUCUUUCAGGAUCUUUAAGGCUCCCACUGUCCCCUUGACAUAUAAGUUUUCCUAGUCAAGAACCAUUCCUUGAUAAAACAAAUAUUCAAGGGAUAGUGCGGAUUCUUAUCAAGACUAACACUUCACACAAUUGGUCUUAGUUGGUCUUUGUCUCAUCCAAGACAUCACAACUUACCAAUCUCAAAUGUACAAGAGUAGAAAACAUUUUACUCUUACAUUUGAUAAGUGUUUUAAACCUUCUUUAAGACAUGUCACUCAAAUUACAAUCUUGGAGUAUGACUCCAAGACUUGUAUUGGAACGAAGUAUGAUUCAUCUUCUUGAUUUAACCAUUUCAACAAUUUCAAGAUCCCUUCUUCUUAGUCAUAAGAAUGCACUAAGACUUUCUUAGAGAACAAAUUUUGAUAUGGUUUCUUAAUCAUUAAGAUGAUCACAAAGCUGAUACUAAAGUACUCUCCCGUCCUUUCAGAUUUGAGAAACUUUUAUCUUUCUGCCUAAUUUGAUUCUUCUUAUUCGUUUUCCAAUGUUACAAAAUUAUACUUAACCUUAUAAGUAUAAUCAUAUUUACUAAUCUUUAGUAAAUCAUGACAAAUCAAUCUUUGUGGUGGACCUUGACCAGCGCACACCCAGUGUACCUAAUUCCUUAGUCCUUCAAUUGACUCACAUAUACAUGUGAUCAAAGAAUUAGUCUUAAUUUUUCAAAGAUGAAAAUUCUCAUUCAUCAUACAAUACAACUUGUAUGAUUCCAAGUUUCUGUCCAAUUGAAACUUGGGUGAUGAAAAACUUUCUUCAUUUGGUAAAUUCAGACACUACCACAAAUGAAAGAAUCAAAUCCACUUUCCAAUAUUGCUAUUACUGGAAACAUAUAAGCAACAAUUUUCCACCGAUGCCAUUGUAAGGAUAUUUUUAAAAUAAAUAAAAUUAAAACCUUUUUUUCUUUUAUUUUAAAACUUUGCGGAAAAACUUAUCCUUACAAUCCACAUGAAAACCUUGUUGUUAUCUAUUCACAAGCAAUAUAUUAUAACUCUUAAGCAACAGCUCAAAAUUCUGAUUACCGAACCAUGCGAUCGAAACCCAUCUUCGCAAUCAGAAUCAGCAUAUACUUACUUUAAGCUUCCUAUCUUUUCUUUGAUUCUUAAAAGACAUCAGCAUGUGACCCAUUCACAUUAUGUAAUAAGAAUCUCCAAAUAGGAACUUAACAGAGUUAUACAGUGUAUUUUACCCGAAGUAGAGUCAAACCUCUUGACUUGAUCAACCUUAUGACCUUUCAGGUAAAUAGGGCAGCUUCGCAACCAAUGCCCCUUUCUUUGGCAAUAUAAACAUAUGGAGACCCUUUGAUAAUGGCACAUGAGACUAUUUCAGACUUAGCCUUUCUCUUUACCAUUUGGUCAACCGAGUUGACUAUGGCCGAUCCCUUUCCAUUGGGAAGAGAAAUGCUUUUCUAGAUAUCCAAUGCUACCAUUGCCAAUGUCCAUUUAAGGUUUGGGAAGUUGAUCUUCUAACAAAAUUUGCUUUACUAGUGUUCCAAAUCAUUGCUGAUUCCACAGCACAAAACAAAUAGAUAAGAUCAUUAAGGCUCGUGUCAUAGUCUGUCUCAUAGUAGUCCCAAAGUGACCCGCUAUGUUACUAAGAAAGUGAUUGAACAUCCAACUUUCACGAGACUUUGACACCCAACUCUCCCGUCUUGUCAAUAUGUGACUACAUCUCCAAGAUGUGACCACACCAAGACCUUAACUUGCCAAUAGGGCUUGAGUGACUUUAAACUUUUCAAGAACUUGUGGGUGAGGGAGAAUAAUUGGAGGAGAUAAAGGAAGUGAAGCAUGAUGUUGAGGAACAUCAUCUUCAAGAGAUUUGGGAAGAUCAUAAAUGUCUAAACCAGACAUGUUUUGGGAGAUAUUCAAGAUAGUUGAUUUAAAGUCCUUAAUAUGACACCCAAUAUGAAAUAUUAAGGCUAGGACCCAACAAACUAUUUUAUAACUUAGAAGAGGGAUGCCGUAAUCCAAGCUAUAAAAUAUUUGAAGGUAGGCGAAUGACGAUUCACCAAUUUCCACCAUGAAAAACGAAAUAAUUUAUUAGGUUUUAAUUGGAUUUGAAAUUCCUAGAUCUUUUGAGAUUCAUUGAACUUUUCAAUGGCAUGUUUCAAUCUCGAGUGUGCCCUCUCAAAUUUUGUGACUGGGAUGCCGAGGAUCACAAAACAAGGUGUGAAUAACCAUACCAAUUCACUUGGUACCCUUAAUAUUAUCACCUAAUCAAUGUGCCGGUUAACCACACACGCUCCAUUGAUCUAUGACAAACAUUAAGUCACCCUUCGUGGUCCUUACUAGUCCAAGUUAGUGUGCCGGUUAACCACACACGCUCCACCAACGACUUGGUAAGGUACAAAGUGUGAAUUCCAUGGGUUAGCACCAAAUUCACAUUUUUCCUAAAGUAACUAAGAUUGGGAAUUAUUAAGAUUUUAGUUACUUUAGUAUUUAUCAUUAAUACUUUUAAUGAAGGGAGAAUUUAAAGUCAUUGUCCUACCCGUUCGGCUAACGACCCUCCACCAGUCAAGCAAGCGGUGGGUGAGAGUAGACACCCAUUAAGUCGCCAUUUUAUAGGCAACAACCUUAUACCCACCUUAUAGACCGGCUUCGUGAAUGAGGCCUACUAACGGUAAAACGACUUGUUCUUAUACAUAUAUAUAAUAAUUAACCAUUAAUGUUAUAAAUAGUAUAAGUGUUGAAUUUUAACUUUUUUAAAAAUCUAAGGGCUAACUUGGAAUUAAAGUAUUCAUAAGUGAAAACUUUUCAAAUUCCAAAACUUGAGGGCAAGUUUUGAAACUAUUCAAAACUAAUUAAUUCCAUAACUUAUGUGUUUAAAGUAGUUUUAAUCCAAAAAACUCUUCAAGUUCCAUAACUUAUGGAAGACUUUAAACUAAUAAAAGAAUUAAUCUUUUCUUUAUUUUUAUAACUUAUGGAAUUAAUUAAGGUUACACUUUAUUUAUUUAUUUAUUUAUUAAUGAAGUGACUCUUGAAUUUCCAUAACUUGAGGACAAGUUAUGGAGUCAUAAAAAAAAAUUAAAUGACACAAGACUCUUCAUUUUGUAACCAUUACCAACUUUUAUGAGUUUUAUGAGUCUUUAAUGUGACUCUUCAUGUAACUUGAGGACAAGUUACACAAACACAUUUUGUACUCAACUCUUAGAUUAAAAUGGAUUGAAAACAACUAUUUCAAUUAACUUUUCUAUUAAUCUAAGCAACUCAUAAGAACAAGAUAAUUCAUAUCAAACUUCUUCAUGUAAUUAGUCUAAACCUUAAACUAAUACAAAACAUGAAUCUAUUGACAAUUAUCUUUGAAAAUGGAUUAGCAUGAACAUUACCACAUUAAAAAACAAGUUUAUAAGUUCAAAAACAACGUAGGGUAAUGUUCCUAGUCCAUUUCUAGCCAAAAACCUCGAAAAUAUGCUGUCUGGGGUCCAACUCGUCGAGUGCAUGAACAUAACUCGGCGAGUUGGAUGAAUUUUGCCUUGGACUCGUCGAGUCCCUUCAUGGACUCGGCGAGUCUGCUGGGCUGACAGCAUCACAACUCGAUUUUUCAGCUCCAUUUGCAAGUAUAACAAGAAAACAUGCCUAGGCUCUGAUACCACUGUUGGGUUUUGAGCAUUCUAACACUCCUAAGUGUACAUGCAACCCUAAAUACCUUGGAUCUAUGUUUUCUCUAUUAUACAUGCAAAUAAGAAUAUCCAAGGUAUCAUCCUAAUCUAUCAUACAAAACAUGAAUAUAACAAGAUAGAAUACAUACCUCUUUGAUGUAGAAAGUCUUCAUGAAGCUUGAGUGCCUAGCCCCAAUAGUGUGGAAGCCUCAAAUGGAAUCACAGUUAUCAAAACACUUAGAAUAACUUGAGAGAGUUCUACACUUCAUGAAAUCGGCUAGCCCUCUCUAGAAUAAUCCUAGUGGCCGAUUUUUGUCAAGAAUAAGAUCAUUAUAUAGUGUUACAAUUAGGGUAAAUCCUUAAUUGUCAUGACUUUCCAUUUCCUUGGAUCCAUGGGUUCAAAUACACCAUGGAGCACCCAUGGACCAUCCUAUGGGUUUUAGCCCAACUUGAUUAUCCAUGGAGCAUUAGCCCACUAUAUAAGUAUGGAUGAUUUACACAAUCAACCCAUAUAUUUAAUUAGUCUUCUUUUGAUCACUUAAUUAAUCCUAGAUUAAUUCUUGAUCAAUACUAAUUAAACAAUCUUAUUAUUCUUAUUAUUAAUAUACUAGAACUUAUAUUAUAUUAAUAACCAUAAGUGUCUUAUUUCUCUCAUUAUAGUCUAUCUAAGUGCAUGAAGGUUUGCAACCCAAAUGGACCAUGCCGGGUCGGGUCAAGUCUUACCAAUUAUAGUUAUGGACUUAGACAUUAAUCCAACAAAAGGGACACUAGAAGCAUAGUUUUCUUAUGUAUCUGGAUGACCUUAAGAAGGGAAAAGUCAAGGUGACUGGCACCUCAGGUAUGUUUAUGAUACAAUUCCACAACACAUCUACUUCAAACUCUUGGAUUCUUGAUAUAGGAUUUGGUACUCAUAUUUGCUCUGAUAUGUAGGGUCUAAGACAAAGUAGGAAGUUGAGGCAUGUUGAGCGCAACCUGAUCAUGGGAAACAGGCACAAGUAAGGUUUUACAAGGAUUGGGAACUAUGAGUUCACGCUUGGUGGUGGUGUUUAUCUUAUGUCUGUUCAUGCACUUUAUAAGGAUGGUUAUCAUUUAUCUGUUGACAAUGAUAAUGGUGAUAUUUUGGUUUAUAAGAAUGGUUGUUUUAUUUUCAAAGCUAGUCCUUGUAAAGCUAUGUAUGAAAUUGUUGUUUGCAUUGGUGAAAUUGAUAAACUAUAUUUGAAUGCUCGUUCCUCUAAUAGUGAACUAGAUAAAUCGUGUGUUUGGCAUGGUCGACUUAGCCAUAUAAAAAAAGUGAAUCACCAAAAUCCAAUCGGAUGCAAUCUUGGAAUCAUUUAACCUCAAAUCAAGUGAUGUACGUGAAUCUUGCUUACUCAGCAAGAUGUCAAAAGCAUCAUUCAUAGGGCACUGUGAAAGAAGUAAGGAUUUGUUGGAUCUCAUACACACAGAUGUUUUUGGACCAUUUACAAUCCACCACAAGACAUGGAGAAAGAUACUUCGUAACUUUUAUCGACUAUUUUAGCAAAUAUGGAUAUAUCUAUCUAAUUAAGCAUAAGUCAGAAACCUUUGAGGUGUUCAAAGAGUUUCAAAAUAAAGUAGAGAACCAAUUAGGCAGAAAGAUCAAGAUGCUUCGAUUCGAUAGGGGUGGAGAAUAUUUAAGUAUUGAAUUCUAUGAUCAUCUUAGGAAUUAUGGAAUAGUUUCACAAUUGUCUCCUCCCAGAACACCACAGUUGGAUGGUGUGGCUGAGAGAAGAAAUCUAACGCUAUUAGAUAUGGUUCGAUCUGUUAUGAGUCGAGCUACACUUCCAAUAUCUUUAUGGGGGUAUACCUUAGAGACAACUGCCCACAUCAUAAACCUCGUACCCACUAAGAAAGUUGCAA